This is a non-coding RNA of Hordeum vulgare subsp. vulgare (domesticated barley), 135 nucleotides long. The record is from Rfam. Lineage: Eukaryota; Viridiplantae; Streptophyta; Magnoliopsida; Poales; Poaceae.
CAUAUACUCCCUCCGUCCCAAAUUCUUGUCUUAGGUUUGUUUAGAAAUGGAUGUAUCAAAAUACUAAAACGUGACNAGAUACAUUCAUAUCUAGACAAACCUAAGACAAGAAUUUUGGGUUGGAGGGAGUAUGAU